AGUGAACGCUGGCGGUAGGCCUAACACAUGCAAGUCGAACGGCAGCACAGUAAGAGCUUGCUCUUACGGGUGGCGAGUGGCGGACGGGUGAGGAAUACAUCGGAAUCUACUUUUUCGUGGGGGAUAACGUAGGGAAACUUACGCUAAUACCGCAUACGACCUACGGGUGAAAGCAGGGGAUCUUCGGACCUUGCGCGAUUGAAUGAGCCGAUGUCGGAUUAGCUAGUUGGCGGGGUAAAGGCCCACCAAGGCGACGAUCCGUAGCUGGUCUGAGAGGAUGAUCAGCCCCACUGGAACUGAGACACGGUCCAGGCUCCUACGGGAGGCAGCAGUGGGGAAUAUUGGACAAUGGGCGAAAGCCUGAUCCAGCCCUACCGCGUGGGUGAAGAAGGACUUCGGGUUGUAAAGCCCUUUUGUUGGGAAAGAAAAGCAGCAAGUUAAUACCCCGCUGUUCUGACGGUACCCAAAGAAUAAGCACCGGCUAACUUCGUG
RNAcentral lists this ribosomal RNA (492 nucleotides) under uncultured bacterium. Its description in RNAcentral is "partial 16S ribosomal RNA". It matches the Rfam family "Bacterial small subunit ribosomal RNA", at positions 29 to 507 of the family's 1533-position model. The record is from RNAcentral.